Molecule: long non-coding RNA, 586 nt
Organism: Amphiprion ocellaris (clown anemonefish)
Lineage: Eukaryota; Metazoa; Chordata; Actinopteri; Pomacentridae
Exons: 5
Source: RefSeq, a predicted model, not a curated record
CAGCUGACCAUCUAGUGAGGGCUCUGGGGAAACCGGCUUCUCUCUGUUCUGACCAAUGAACAGGGAGGAGGGGAAGCUGUAGCCUCUCGGUGGGCUUCUGAUCGGGAAAUAAAACGGAUAACCCGGCGGGGAAGCUCCACCUUCCACACCUCGAUGAUGAGCUGCUUCCUGAAAGAGAGGUGGACGGAGACAAAGGUCACAGAGGUCACAGCGAGACAAUAACCACCUCAUGCCCACAGCGGUGUUGUGAUGUUUGGCUUUGUGACGGAAUCCAUGCUGUAAAUGUCAACAGAUGCUUUCUGGUCCCUUGUGGGCGUUAACCACUACAGGAAGCCUCUCCCCGCCCUCACAGCGGGGUGAGACAAGUCUGAUGAAAAAGUCAAGACACAUGUGUGCUACACAGGAGUCAAAGCAGCCUCAUGAACAGUCUCGCACAGCGGGCCAUCGACCAAUCAGCCAAGCUAAGCUAAUUGCCUCCUGGCUCCAGCUCCAAUCUGUAUGCACAGACAUGACAGUGAAUUUCCCUCUGGACGAGAAAAAUGGCAUGGUGCGGGGAGACGGAGAGUGAGUAGGCGGUGAAAACGGC